Molecule: ribosomal RNA, 503 nt
Filed under: Starmerella bacillaris
Lineage: Eukaryota; Fungi; Ascomycota; Dipodascomycetes; Dipodascales; Trichomonascaceae
Description: eukaryotic LSU rRNA
Rfam family: Eukaryotic large subunit ribosomal RNA
Source: RNAcentral
UGUUGCAUUUUUCAAUAGCGGAGGAAAAGAAACCAACAGGGAUUGCCCUAGUAACGGCGAGUGAACAGGCAAGAGCUCAGAUUUGAAAGGCACUUUUGUGCCGUUGUAUUCUGAAGUUAGGGUCCUGAGAAACGAUGCUUAAGUCUUCUGGAAAGGAGCGCCAUGGAGGGUGAUAGCCCCGUCUAGCAUUGACCUCAUAUAGGAUCUUAACAUGGAGUCGAGUUGUUUGGGAAUGCAGCUCAAAUGGGUGGUAUGCUCCAUCUAAAGCUAAAUAUCUGCGAGAGACCGAUAGUAAACAAGUACUGUGAGGGAAAGAUGAAAAGAACUUUGAAAAGAGAGUGAAAAAGUACGUGAAAUUGUUGAAAUGGAAGGGUAGGCCGCUAACCAUGUAGAGCCGUGUUUGGGGGGAAGAUAAAUGCUGUAGAAUGUAGCUCCUCGGAGUAUUAUAGAUGCAGUUCAUAUUCCCACCCGAGCGCGAGGAUCUCAGUCUACAAAAAUGGAUG